AUGAGACGCUCUCGCGUGCUUAACACAUGCAAGUCGAACGGUGAAGCCCAGCUUGCUGGGUGGAUCAGUGGCGAACGGGUGAGUAACACGUGAGUAACCUGCCCCUGACUUUGGGAUAACUCCGGGAAACCGGGGCUAAUACCGGAUAUGAGCUCUUGCCGCAUGGUGGGGGUUGGAAAGAUUUAUCGGUUGGGGAUGGGCUCGCGGCCUAUCAGCUUGUUGGUGGGGUGAUGGCCUACCAAGGCGACGACGGGUAGCCGGCCUGAGAGGGCGACCGGCCACACUGGGACUGAGACACGGCCCAGACUCCUACGGGAGGCAGCAGUGGGGAAUAUUGCACAAUGGGCGCAAGCCUGAUGCAGCGACGCCGCGUGAGGGAUGACGGCCUUCGGGUUGUAAACCUCUUUCAGCAGGGAAGAAGCGCAAGUGACGGUACCUGCAGAAGAAGCGCCGGCUAACUACGUGCCAGCAGCCGCGGUAAUACGUAGGGCGCAAGCGUUGUCCGGAAUUAUUGGGCGUAAAGAGCUCGUAGGCGGUUUGUCGCGUCUGCUGUGAAAUCCCGAGGCUCAACCUCGGGCUUGCAG
Molecule: ribosomal RNA, 584 nt
Filed under: Actinomycetales bacterium E106
Lineage: Bacteria; Bacillati; Actinomycetota; Actinomycetes; Actinomycetales
Description: bacterial SSU rRNA
Rfam family: Bacterial small subunit ribosomal RNA
Source: RNAcentral